GAUGAACGCUAGCGACAGGCCUUACACAUGCAAGUCGAGGGGCAGCGCAUGAGUAGCAAUACGAUGGUGGCGACCGGCGCACGGGUGAGUAUCGCGUAUGCAACCUACCUUCCACAGGGGGAUAGCCUUCCGAAAGGGAGAUUAAUACCGCAUAAAACAGGGGCCCCGCAUGGGGAUAUUUGUUAAAGAUUUAUCGGUGGGAGAUGGGCAUGCGUUCCAUUAGCUAGUUGGCGGGGUAAUGGCCCACCAAGGCAUCGAUGGAUAGGGGAACUGAGAGGUUUAUCCCCCACACUGGAACUGAGACACGGUCCAGACUCCUACGGGAGGCAGCAGUGAGGAAUAUUGGUCAAUGGGCGGGAGCCUGAACCAGCCAAGUCGCGUGAAGGAAGACGGUUCUAUGGAUUGUAAACUUCUUUUGCACUGGGGUAAAACGGGGGACGUGUCCCCCCUUGCAAGUACAGUGCGAAUAAGCAUCGGCUAACUCCGUGCCAGCAGCCGCCGUAA
This 504-nucleotide ribosomal RNA is filed under the name uncultured bacterium. RNAcentral describes it as "partial 16S ribosomal RNA". It matches the Rfam family "Bacterial small subunit ribosomal RNA", at positions 28 to 523 of the family's 1533-position model. The record is from RNAcentral.